Molecule: transfer RNA, 76 nt
Filed under: Desulfovibrio sp.
Lineage: Bacteria; Pseudomonadati; Thermodesulfobacteriota; Desulfovibrionia; Desulfovibrionales; Desulfovibrionaceae
Description: tRNA-Val
Rfam family: tRNA
About the family: Transfer RNA (tRNA) molecules are approximately 80 nucleotides in length. Their secondary structure includes four short double-helical elements and three loops (D, anti-codon, and T loops). Further hydrogen bonds mediate the characteristic L-shaped molecular structure. tRNAs have two regions of fundamental functional importance: the anti-codon, which is responsible for specific mRNA codon recognition, and the 3' end, to which the tRNAs corresponding amino acid is attached (by aminoacyl-tRNA synthetases). tRNAs cope with the degeneracy of the genetic code in two manners: having more than one tRNA (with a specific anti-codon) for a particular amino acid; and 'wobble' base-pairing, i.e. permitting non-standard base-pairing at the 3rd anti-codon position.
Source: RNAcentral
GGACAGUUAGCUCAGUUGGUGGAGCAUCGGUCUUACACACCGAGGGUCACAGGUUCAAGUCCUGUACUGUCCACCA